AUGCUUGGUCGGUCGGCUUCGACGGCCGCAUCACCAUCGGCGUCUGGGUCGGCCGCCCGGAUGGCGCGCCAGUGCCGGGGCUGGUUGGGCGCAC
RNAcentral lists this transfer RNA (94 nucleotides) under Bradyrhizobium sp. RD5-C2. RNAcentral describes it as "tRNA-Val". Lineage: Bacteria; Pseudomonadati; Pseudomonadota; Alphaproteobacteria; Hyphomicrobiales; Nitrobacteraceae. The record is from RNAcentral.